AAUGGGAUUAAGAGCUUGCUCUUAUAGAAGUUAGCGGCGGCCGGUUGAGUAAAACGUGGGUAACCUGCCCAUAAUACUGGGAUUACUCCGGGAAACCGGGGCUAAUACCGGAUAACAUUUUGAACCGGAUGGUUCGAAUUUGAAAGGCGGCUUCGGCUGUCACUUAUGGAUGGACCCGCGUCGCAUUAGCUAGUUGGUGAGGUAACGGCUCACCAAGGCAACGAUGCGUAGCCGACCUGAGAGGGUGAUCGGCCACACUGGGACUGAGACACGGCCCAGACUCCUACGGGAGGCAGCAGUAGGGAAUCUUCCGCAAUGGACGAAAGUCUGACGGAGCAACGCCGCGUGAGUGAUGAAGGCUUUCGGGUCGUAAAACUCUGUUGUUAGGGAAGAACAAGUGCUAGUUGAAUAAGCUGGCACCUUGACGGUACCUAACCAGAAAGCCACGGCUAACUACGUGCCAGCAGCCGCGGUAAUACGUAGGUGGCAAGCGUUAUCCGGAAUUAUUGGGCGUAAAGCGCGCGCAGGUGGUUUCUUAAGUCUGAUGUGAAAGCCCACGGCUCAACCGUGGAGGGUCAUUGGAAACUGGGAGACUUGAGUGCAGAAGAGGAAAGUGGAAUUCCAUGUGUAGCGGUGAAAUGCGUAGAGAUAUGGAGGAACACCAGUGGCGAAGGCGACUUUCUGGUCUGUAACUGACACUGAGGCGCG
This 708-nucleotide ribosomal RNA is filed under the name Bacillus sp. V6. Its description in RNAcentral is "bacterial SSU rRNA". It matches the Rfam family "Bacterial small subunit ribosomal RNA", at positions 65 to 755 of the family's 1533-position model. Lineage: Bacteria; Bacillati; Bacillota; Bacilli; Caryophanales; Bacillaceae. The record is from RNAcentral.